Punica granatum (pomegranate) is the source of this 1632-nucleotide non-coding RNA. The record is from RefSeq and is a predicted model, not a curated record. Lineage: Eukaryota; Viridiplantae; Streptophyta; Magnoliopsida; Myrtales; Lythraceae.
AUGGUAUACAACUCGAUAAUCUUCUCUCAAUCCAUACCCAUAUUCAUAUAUCUACUACUUUAUUUAGAAAAGCAGAAGCUCCCGCAUUUAUUUUCACAUUCAUGUGUUUUCACAACCUCAUGCCUUUUUGUUUAAAUAAAAAAUAAGGUAUGUGCUUACGCUUCCUCUUUUCCCAACAUACACUAGCUAGCCCGCCACAACCAAACACACCGAACGGUCACCUUUACCUUUGCCUUCUCAGUGCUCCUUUCUCCAAUCUAUGUUUUUGCUUUUCUCCCAUGCUCUACCACAUCUUGAGUCCAUUCCAUGCUUAUGCUUUGGCCUACUUCACUCUGCUGUGAUCGAAAAGGAUCGAAAAUUAUCUAUUACCGUUUGGCCCCAAUCCCACGCCUAACUAGCAGCGAUGUAGUGUCGGGGUUUGUUGCCUCUUCCGGGCCCAUUCAGAUGUUCGUGAUUUUUCGCUAAUUCUCUAUCGCACCUGCUCCUGUGGUGGUGUCUGAAUCAUGAACUUUAUAUUGCUUCACAGACAAAGAGCAUCUAACCUCCCUUCAUCUCCUCCCUCUAUUUCUACUUCCAUCUACCGUCUUUUACCUACUCAAUCAAAUGCCUACCUCAGUCAUCCCAUGCUAUGUGCCACUAGUUCGUCUAUUUUUUACUUCUAACCUACUUGAUAAAAGCCUCCUCUAAUCAUCCCGUGCUCCUUGCCACCAGGCGAUCAACUUUCGCUCCAAAGAAGUUAUGGUAGCUCUCCUAGACUAUUCGAGAGAUCCUGAAUCAGGUGCAGGCCUAAGCUCUCGUUCUACCUCCUGCUAUUUCAAAUGCCAUGGACUCAGAUGCGGUUUCUUAAUGCAUGUCUUUAUGUGGAAAAAGGAGCAAAAAAAAAAAGAAAAAGAAAAAAGAAAGAUCUUUCUUUCUCAAAAUCCUUGAUAGAGUGGGUGGAUUUUGAGUUCUCAUUGUCUGGUACGCUUCUUAUUGACUUUUCGUCCCCAAGUUUUAGGAUGAACUCUACGAUAUGUAGCCCCCCAAUAUGAGCUACAUAUCUCCCAGUUAAUAAAUCAUGGGAGUGGAUUCUGGUCUCUCCAAUCAUUUCCCUCUAUCCAUAAGAAUCACCAAUCAAAUACUUUUUCUCGUGAUAUCAAUAUGAUUUGUCAACUCAUAUCCAAGCUAUGAUACCAAACUGCCAAGUCACAGAACAUUGUUGAUGUAGUGCAUAUUGCACUUGCAUUUGUGCCAUGUUCUGUACCUUUUGGAUUGCUCUGAUUUUUUAAAAGUUUUUUUUUUGUGACCUAUGCCCAUGUUAUAGUAGCUUACUUUUUAUUUAAUAUUUGUCUUUAUCUAAUGGUACAUAACGCUUUACCUAGAUAUUUAUUUGUUAGUUUAAUCAUCAAAUAUUGUGUUCUUCCAAGCUUAUCUUAUUGUAAAAUCUUGAUUUCAAUUUUAUUAGUAAAAUAAUUUGUUUGUUCUUGUUCCUUGGAAUGCUAACUGCCUGAAGAGAUGCAAACCACGUGCAAUGCACGUGACCCUCCUACUAUUAUAAGUAAAACUGUAUCCUAUUGUAAUAAAUGCUCUCUAAUUAAUAAAAAAAUUAUUUAAAGAAUAUAUUAAAAAAUUAAGAGAAUUGAUAUAAUCAAA